Molecule: long non-coding RNA, 989 nt
Filed under: Marmota monax (woodchuck)
Lineage: Eukaryota; Metazoa; Chordata; Mammalia; Rodentia; Sciuridae
Source: RNAcentral
GGCAGGCACCGCUCUCUGGCACUACAGUGGGCUUCCUGUCUCCUGGCCCAGACAUCCCACUAGACCCACCUCAGACCACAGGUCGGAAGCCCAGGCCUUGCGGCGACCUGGGGCGGCGGCCACCAUGCAAUGUCCCAGGUGCCCCAGUUUUGCCUUUGGUGGCAAACAAACAAAAAGCCUACACGUUCCGGAACCCUCCCCUCAGAGUAUGACCCUGUCUCUGAUAGGGACAGAUUGGCCGGAAGGGAAGUGGGAACUUGCUCUACUGUUCCUCUUUCACCAACUUGGCCAGUGAAGAAGCCACUAAAAUCGCGAAAUUAACCAGUCUGACUAGUUUGUCCCUGCGGCCGCCUCGUAGACGGCGGCCCAGCGCGUUUCCCGGGACCACAUUGCCAUGGCUGCCGGCGGUGGCGUCGCUUCCAGCGAAACGCUGCGUUACGCCGAGUACUCGCAGCCUACGGGGAAACUGCCGGACGCCGAACUCGACCACCGACUGGUGAGUCCGACCUCGCCCGUGCGGCUCUGUACCCUUUGCGACUUUGUACUCCCCGCGUCCUUUCUCUGUCCCACUCCGGCCGCUCAUCUGUUAGGCGGAGAGCCUGCUCCGCGGGGCUCUGGCGACGAGGCGUGGAAGACGGCCUUUCUGAGGGUCUCUGUCUCCGCAAGGAGCUUCCAGUCUUGUCGCGGACAGACAGACCAGAAGACCCGCCACUGCAGAGACAAGAUACUGAGUGCUGUGGGCUGGACUAUCCUUUCGUGUCGGAGACUCGAGACAGGUCUUGCAGGGGAUAUGGUAGAGACCCAGGACUCCUCUUGGGGAAAGCGGUGGUUAAAAACCACCAUCUGAAGAAUCCGCAAAAACAGCCACCCAGGGGAAAGAAGAGCGCACAGUGCUUUAGUCAAAGGCUGGGAAGUCUGGGGCAGACGAACGGUCCAACCAGAAGGGCAAGUAGUUUAUUCACGUGGCAAGUUAGAGCUGGGAAAGGGGA